Molecule: unclassified non-coding RNA, 145 nt
Filed under: uncultured Sordariomycetes
Lineage: Eukaryota; Fungi; Ascomycota; Sordariomycetes
Description: sequence contains ITS1
Source: RNAcentral
CAGAGUUGCAAAACUCCCAACCCAUGACUAUAUACCUAUUUUGGUCUUUCGGCAGGCGGCCCCGGGGAGGGGCCUCAGCCUACGGCGCCUGCCAGAGGGACUACUCCAUACUCUUUUACGUAUCUAUGAGUCUAAAAAAAUAUCA